GUUGAACGCUGGCGGCAUGCCUAACACAUGCAAGUCGAGCGGAUGAAGGGAGCUUGCUCCUGGAUUCAGCGGCGGACGGGUGAGUAAUGCCUAGGAAUCUGCCUGGUAGUGGGGUAUAACGUCCGGAAACGGUCGCUAAUACCGCAUACGUCCUGAGGGAGAAAGUGGGGGAUCUUCGGACCUCGCGCUAUCAGAUUAGCCUAGGUCGGAUUAGCUAGUUGUUGGGGUAAAGGCCUACCAAGGCGACGAUCCGUAACUGGUCUGAGAGGAUGAUCAGUCACCACGGAAUUGAGACACGGUCCAGCAUACUACGGCAGGCAGCAGUGGGGAAUAUUGGAGAACGGGCGACAGCCUGAUCCAGCCACGACGCGUGUGUGAAGAAGGUCUUCGGAUUGUAAAGCACUUUAAGUUGGGAGGAAGGGCAGUAAGUUAAUACCUUGCUGUUUUGACGUUACCAACAGAAUAAGCACCGGCUAACUUCGUG
Molecule: ribosomal RNA, 484 nt
Filed under: uncultured bacterium
Lineage: Bacteria
Description: partial 16S ribosomal RNA
Rfam family: Bacterial small subunit ribosomal RNA
Source: RNAcentral